AUUCAAGAAUAGUUUUGUUUGUCCUGCCCUGCUAUUUCUUUAAGGAGAUCGUACGUAUGUAGUGGAAAGGGCACAAAGAGACCCAGCCUCCUAGUCUCUCGUACCGGCAUCCAGCCGCCUGCUUAGGGACAGGAAGUCGGCCAUGCCGAGAAGGUCGUUCUGAAUGGAAGUGGAAGGACGGCCACAGAAACGGACAGGAAGUUGGCCAUCCCGGGGAGGUCGGUGUGUAAGACAGUGGAGGACUACUGCGCAUGUGUGACUGGAAGUUGGCAGGCCCUAGGAGUAGAUAACCCAAAACACUCAAAGAGCCA
Molecule: long non-coding RNA, 311 nt
Organism: Crotalus tigris (Tiger rattlesnake)
Lineage: Eukaryota; Metazoa; Chordata; Lepidosauria; Squamata; Viperidae
Exons: 3
Source: RefSeq, a predicted model, not a curated record